Molecule: ribosomal RNA, 425 nt
Filed under: Pseudomonas sp. IC_126
Lineage: Bacteria; Pseudomonadati; Pseudomonadota; Gammaproteobacteria; Pseudomonadales; Pseudomonadaceae
Description: bacterial SSU rRNA
Rfam family: Bacterial small subunit ribosomal RNA
Source: RNAcentral
GGAAUCUUCGGCAAUGGGGGCAACCCUGACCGAGCAACGCCGCGUGAGUGAAGAAGGUUUUCGGAUCGUAAAGCUCUGUUGUAAGAGAAGAACGAGUGUGAGAGUGGAAAGUUCACACUGUGACGGUAUCUUACCAGAAAGGGACGGCUAACUACGUGCCAGCAGCCGCGGUAAUACGUAGGUCCCGAGCGUUAUCCGGAUUUAUUGGGCGUAAAGCGAGCGCAGGCGGUUAGAUAAGUCUGAAGUUAAAGGCUGUGGCUUAACCAUAGUACGCUUUGGAAACUGUUUAACUUGAGUGCAAGAGGGGAGAGUGGAAUUCCAUGUGUAGCGGUGAAAUGCGUAGAUAUAUGGAGGAACACCGGUGGCGAAAGCGGCUCUCUGGUCUGUAACUGACGCUGAGGCUCGAAAGCGUGGGGAGCAAACAG